UGAGGAAUAUUGGAUAAUGGAUGGAAAUCUGAUCCAGCCAUGCCGCGUGCAGGAAGAAUGUCCUAUGGAUUGUAAACUGCUUUUGUAUGGGAGCAAUAAGGUCUUCGUGAAGGCCGAUGAGAGUACCAUACGAAUAAGCACCGGCUAACUCCGUGCCAGCAGCCGCGGUAAUACGGAGGUGCAAGCGUUAUCCGGAUUUAUUGGGUUUAAAGGGUGCGUAGGCGGUUAUAUAAGUCAGCGGUGAAAUUUUUCGGCUCAACCGGAAACAUGCCGUUGAUACUGUAUAGCUUGAAUAUGGUUGCUGUGAGUGGAAUGUGUAGUGUAGCGGUUGAAAUGCUUAGAUAUUACACAGAAUAUGAUUGCGAAGGCAAACUCACAAAGCCAUUAUUGACGCUGAGGC
Molecule: ribosomal RNA, 400 nt
Filed under: uncultured bacterium
Lineage: Bacteria
Description: bacterial SSU rRNA
Rfam family: Bacterial small subunit ribosomal RNA
Source: RNAcentral